RNAcentral lists this ribosomal RNA (329 nucleotides) under uncultured eukaryote. RNAcentral describes it as "partial 18S ribosomal RNA". It matches the Rfam family "Eukaryotic small subunit ribosomal RNA", at positions 1470 to 1796 of the family's 1831-position model. The record is from RNAcentral.
CCCUUAGAUGUUCUGGGCCGCACGCGCGCUACACUGAUGCAUUCAACGAGUCUAAAACCUGCUCUGAUAGCGGUGGGUAAUCUUUUGAAUGUGCAUCGUGAUUGGGAUAGAUGAUUGCAAUUUUUCAUCUUCAACGAGGAAUGCCUAGUAAACGCAAGUCAUCAGCUUGCAUUGAUUACGUCCCUGCCCUUUGUACACACCGCCCGUCGCUCCUACCGAUUGAAUGAUCCGAUGAAUAUCAUGGAUUGAGGAUGCAAGUAGGUUCACCUAUCUUCAUCUUCGAGAAGUGAAGUAAAUCUUAUCAUUUAGAGGAAGGAGAAGUCGUAACA